Molecule: ribosomal RNA, 371 nt
Filed under: uncultured organism
Description: partial 16S ribosomal RNA
Rfam family: Bacterial small subunit ribosomal RNA
Source: RNAcentral
GGAGGGUCCAAGCGUUAUCCGGAAUCAUUGGGUUUAAAGGGUCCGUAGGCGGGCAAUUAAGUCAGAGGUGAAAUCCCACAGCUCAACUGUGGAACUGCCUUUGAUACUGGUUGUCUUGAGUUAUAGUGAAGUAGAUAGAAUAUGUAGUGUAGCGGUGAAAUGCAUAGAUAUUACAUAGAAUACCGAUUGCGAAGGCAGUCUACUAACUGUAUACUGACGCUAAUGGACGAAAGCGUGGGGGGGAGCGAACAGGAUUAGAUACCCUGGUAGUCCACGCCGUAAACGAUGGUCACUAGUUGUUGGGGCUUUAUGCCUCAGUGAUUAAGAGAAAUUGAUAAGUGACCCCACCUGGGAGUACGAUCGCAAGAUUG